CCAUGGCUCAGUCGGUAGAGCGACGCAUUCGUAAUGCGUAGGUCGCCGGUUCGAAUCCGGCUGG
Molecule: transfer RNA, 64 nt
Filed under: pig gut metagenome
Rfam family: tRNA
About the family: Transfer RNA (tRNA) molecules are approximately 80 nucleotides in length.
Source: RNAcentral